Molecule: ribosomal RNA, 752 nt
Filed under: uncultured archaeon
Lineage: Archaea
Description: bacterial SSU rRNA
Rfam family: Archaeal small subunit ribosomal RNA
Source: RNAcentral
GGUUGAUCCUGCCGGACCCGACUGCUAUCGGAUUGGGACUAAGCCAUGCGAGUCAACUCCGCAAGGGGUGGCGCACGGCUCAGUAACACGUAGUCAACCUACCCUAGGGACGGGGAUAACCUCGGGAAACUGAGGCUAAACCCCGAUAGGCUAUAGCCUCUGGAAUGAGCUAUAGCUGAAAUCUAUAUGGCCCUAGGAUGGGACUGCGGCCGAUCAGGUAGUUGGUGGGGUAAUGGCCCACCAAGCCUAUAACCGGUGCGGGCUCUGAGAGGAGGAGCCCGGAGAUGGGCACUGAGACAAGGGCCCAGGUCCUAUGGGGCGCAGCAGGCGCGAAACCUCCGCAAUGGGCGAAAGCCCGACGGGGUUAGUCCGAGUGGUCCCUGCUGAAGGGGCCUUUUGCCAGCUGUAAAAAGGCUGGCGAAUAAGCGGGGGGCAAGAUCUGGUGUCAGCCGCCGCGGUAAUACCAGCCCCGCGAGUGGUCAGGACGAUUAUUGAGCCUAAAGCGUCCGUAGCCGGCCUUACAAGUUCUCCCUUAAAUGGCACGGCUCAACCGUGUCGCUGGGGGGAAUACUGUAAGGCUAGGGAGCGGGAGAGGCGGGUGGUACUCGAGGGGUAGUGGCAAAAUACGAUAAUCCCUCGAGGACCACCAGUGGCGGAGGCGACCUGCUAGAACGCGUCCGACGGUGAGGGACGAAAGCUGGGGGAGCAAAAGGGAUUAGAGACCCCUGUAGUCCCAGCUGUAAACUAUGCGG